GUAUGAUGAGAGUUUAAAUUCCUACCACAGCCAUAUAUACAUGCUUGCUAGACUUUGAGCCACACAUUUACUAUUUACUGCUUAUGAGCAUUGAGUGUGGUCAAGCUGUGUAGACCCUUAGGAGCUUGUCAUGUGGUUAAAUCAAGAUUUCACUUGCACAUUCACUCAUAUAUGCUACUUCUAUUUCGGAAGUACCAUCCACAUAUAUUCACUCAUUUCCAUCUCUAGAACCACCCAAAAAUAUUCUACUCCUAAUCCGGGAGAGAAUAGCCAAAAAUAUUUCUAUUUUUCCUUUGUGAAAUAAAUGCUCAAGUUAUCUUGUUACUACCACUUGCUAUAUUAUCUCAAGAGAUGAGUGCUCUAAAAAAAAGAGAGAGAAAAACGAGGAAAUAAAAAGGAGCAAGUGCUCGGAACCUCGAAAGAAAAGAAAAGUGAGACGAGAGGUAAAAAUGGAUAAGUGUCCGACAGUAGAAUUAGGGGUACAAGAUACCCACCUGAGAGAAAAGAAAAAAAGAAGAGCAUCUCAUUCUCCUCACAAAGUUUCAAAAAGCAAGAAAUGUAUGUAUCCCCUCAAAAGAGCAAAAGUAGAAUUAGACUUCCAUCACCAUUGUUUUCACCAUUGUUAUCACCAUCAUCACCAUACACCAUUCAUUCGCCACACAUGCACAUCUUGAUUAAACUUAUUGACUUAUUACUUUGGAUCCAUGGUUUGACUAUACAAUAAAUGUCUUGUAAGUAUGUAUAUUUUAUCUCCCACCUAUGAGCUCCAGAUAUUAAAGCCUUAUUAGAGUAGGGUGAGAGAGAAGGUAAUGUCACUAUGCUUUAUACCACAAAUACUACAUAUCUUGAGAGAAGGCAUAUACCAUCACUGCCUUGGUAAGGAUCUAGAAAUACCACAAAAGAGAGAUAUGAGAGAAUCAUACAAGGAAUCUCUGAGUUUUAUUUGAAAAUCUGCAAAAACUCCAGAACUACAGC
RNAcentral lists this long non-coding RNA (975 nucleotides) under Sorghum bicolor (sorghum). RNAcentral describes it as "long non-coding RNA (SBIC_LNC015958)". Lineage: Eukaryota; Viridiplantae; Streptophyta; Magnoliopsida; Poales; Poaceae. The record is from RNAcentral.